RNAcentral lists this long non-coding RNA (686 nucleotides) under Mus musculus (house mouse). RNAcentral's name for it is "long non-coding RNA chr2:178686510-178687196". The record is from RNAcentral. Lineage: Eukaryota; Metazoa; Chordata; Mammalia; Rodentia; Muridae.
UGAGCUGAGGCAUGAAUGGGGCUGAGCUGGGAACAAGGUUCCUGUAGGAGGAGCUGACGACAAGCUGCUCACAGAGUGAUUGGCACAAACAGAAGGGGCUGCAGCCAUUACUGCAAGACUUAGGAUCAAUAAAUACCCUUUGUUCUUCUUAAAAUUACCUUGUUUUCUUUUUAGACUCUGAAGUGAGAGAUUCGGAUUUUAAUUGAUCGCUACCGCGUGCUUUGCCUCUGACAUCCUGACAAAUGUCAAACACAUUUACAUACAGUAAUUGUUUUGUUUUGUUUUUUUUUCAAAGAUAUGGUUAAAAAAAGAAAGAAAAGAAAAAUGCAUCUUUGUACCCAACAGUCAUGUUCACCACUGCAGGCGUGGGUAGACAUUGUGUACAUUCACCAUGGACACAUCUGGAGCUGAGCGACCGUGAAUGUUCCCGUUCACACAACAGCGGAUUGCAAACAGAAAGCUUUGCAUUGUGGUGGAGAGCAAAGGGCAUUGUGUGAGCAUCUUGCUCAGGGUUCCAUAUUCACCUGUGUUUGCACCUGGCCUGCUAAAAAAGGGACUAUGGAAGGCAACCUCGAGCCAGGACUCACUGCUUUGUGCAAAAGGGUAGUACAACCCAGUGCCUCCUGUGGCUUAGAUACUGGCUGAACUUAUUAUACAAGGUUAUGUAAAUAAAAUAUACAAGGUUA